AAUAAAAACUAAAAAACCCUAUGGGAAACAAAUAGAACCGCUCAGCGGCUCCUUUUCUCGUUUCUUCCUUUCUUAUCUUCUAUUCAUAACCUUUGCUUCUCACUUUCAAGUCUCAAGACUCCUGAUCAUCGGAGCGGCGAAACUCAGUCACCCGAAACCCUUCACAAGGCGGCGCUUCCCUUGUCAAGUCUCAAGACUUCUGAUCAUCGGAGCGGAAAGAGUGCGUAAUUGAGUUUGAAGGUAUACUUCUCUAUCUAUUUGCGAAAUUUGGGUCUUUUUUAAUUAUGCGUCUUUAGAGUGGGGUUAUUGUUAAUUAAUUUGGUUGAAUUGGUUUUUGUGGGGAAGGAGGUUUGUAUUCAAUUACGAUUGAUUAAUUAUGGGGUUUAGGGUUUCUUCCUCUAAAUUGGUAGGUUAUGAGUAUUGGGUUCUGGUUUUUCAUUUUGAGAAUGGGCGACUGAAUUACUUAGAAUCAACCUUCACUGUAGCGCACAAGAAGGCUAAGCUCGAAAAUGGCGUCAAAGGAAUAUCUGUUUCUGUCGAUAUAUACAACUGUGGAUAUUUGUAUACUCUCCUUUUCUCUCUCCUAAUUUUGCAUUUGCGAUUACAGAUUCAAAUAUUUUUUAAUUUGAUUUUUCAUUUGAAGUUUUUAAAUUGAAUGCUCGUGUGCUUGAUUUUGGUUGCAUAUUGAUUUGGAGGAGUCAAUUCUGUUGGAAUUGAAAUUUCAUUACAAUUUCGUUGUUUAAUCUUGGAUUUGUGCACUUGAUUAAUUUUUUGAGUUUGCGAAUUGAUUGAGAAAUAGAAUAAUUGUUUGUUAAUCAAAAAAUUAAACUGAUUUUACAAGGAUUAGUUACUAUUUAAAGUACCUGUACUGAAAAACUAGAAUCAUUUCCCUGGAAUAACAUGCAUAUUGAAGAUUAAAGUUCUCUAGCGUGUAUGUCAAAUUUUCUAUUUUACUCCAAAUACAUGUCAUGUAGUUUUGAUAAUGUGAUUGUCAUUGACAAAAAAAAGCAUUUCUGUUAGACCUCAUUAAUGAAAUAGCAGUACAGAGUACUAGUGAUAACCACAUAUCGCAUUUCUCUUGUGCCUCGUGAUCGACACAGUAGUAAUGAGUAUAAGGAACAAAUAUCACAUUUCAAUUCCAUUAGAUCUCAUGAAUGAAAUUGGAGUCAUGAGUACAAGUAAUGACCGAAGAUCAUAUUUCAGAAACCCCAUGAGGCCAUGAUAUAACUAUUUCAUAAUUUCAAUGAUAUUGCCUCAACUAGUCAAAAGGGACUUAAUGAGUAUUGCAGCCGUUUUUGGCAUGAAUGGAUGAAGCCUUGACAGAUUCUAGAAUUGACGUUUGGAUGUUGUAUGUGGCAACUUUUCAAGAUCAUGGGACAGCCUUGAUGUGUGAGUAUUUAUUUAUUAGCAGUUAUAACUAUAUUUUCUCUAUGGGAGUUCCUUAGUUGUGAAUCUGUAAACUGAUAAUUGUAAUUCACAAUUGAGAGGAAGUCAAAGAUCAUGAAGUAGAGAGAGAAAGGGGUUGGAGUUCCAUAAUAACCAUUAGCUAAUAUCUAGAGAAGCCAUGAUGUUUGGAAAUCAUGGUAUAUGUUUUCUUACUUAGAGAUGGUUGUUCUAUUGGAUCAAAGUAACUAUGUUGUCAAAAUCAGAAGUACUUAUAAAGUUAUAAUAGACUUUGCUGAAGCAUGGUACUAUUAGUAGUAAACUACAGAUUCUUGACCUUGGCCUCUUCCUUUGUUUUUGGGGCCAGCCUGCUAAUUCUUGUACUAGUGUAUCGAUCUGUUUUAUAAGUCUCUUGCAGGAGUAAUCCUUGCAGAGGUAGGGCAUUACCGGCAGAUAACCUUGUUAUUCUCUCAUACAUAAUUUUUUGUUGACAACUUUCUACGAUGUUCCGCAGAUUAAGCAAUAACAUCUUUACAUUUAAACAUAAUGCAAGGAAGUCAAUAUAAACCACUGUCAUCUAAUAUCUAAUAUCUUCUGCACAUAUCCAGAUAUCCUCUUACAUACCAAAAGCUUUAACUGAAUAGAACAACUAAUGCACAAAUACAAGUUAGCAAAGUUUUUCACAACAGCUAGAAUCAUACAUGUUUUUCAUAUUAACAACAACGACACCAUUGAUAAUGCAAUAUACAGAAAAAUACAAACACAUCAAAGUUCUAUAGUUGAAGAACUCUGUAAUAUUCUUUUAUGCCUGUGAAGAACUUGAGACCUUACCUCACUGUAUGCUCUGAUCAGAAACUCGCUUCUCUAAUGAGUAACAAUUGGGGUAAAUGUGUUGUUUCUUUAUUCCACAAUUGUCAAAUAUAUUGGAUACUCUUAUAUGUUUUGAAACUGUAAAUCUAGACGAAACUUUUGUAAAUUUAUUUUUCAAUAUAAUGCUUAUGGUAAUGAUAAUUCUUUCUUAUUUAACUUUCUUAUAUAUAUAAUCACUACUACAAAAACCUUGGUUUUUGGACGCUAGGUGCUCGACGCAAGAGUAUGAGCGUUGGUGCAAAUAAUUAGUUUCCGCUUACUCACGACGCUUUUUAUCGUCCAGUGUAAUGUAGACAACAAUAAGCGUCGAGAAUUCACGUGCAAUCCACGUGAUGUUGUUUAAUUAGCUAUUCUGGAACUUCAUCCCCUUUUUCUGUUGCCCGCAAGGUCGCAAUUUCACCCUUUUUUCUGGAAAAGAAAAACCACCUCAUUGAAUAGCUCUCACCCACCUCUCAUCUCCAAUCUCAGAUCUACUCUCCUCUCAUUGAAUUUAUAAGCUCUUUCACGUAGCUUCCUUGUUUGUCUUCUCAUGGGCUUGUAUUUCUCUCUCUCAUCUCUCCAUAAAAAUUAAAUUUCAUUCUCUGAAAUUGUCGAUCCUGUUCGGCGUGUCAAUGGUUUAUCAUCUUCUACCUUGUCGGCCUGGUAAAGGUAACAUAAUUUUCCGUUGCGUUUCUUUUUUCUUCUUUUUUCAACUUUCGUUUUGUAUUUUUUUGAAACAUGAAUUUCUAGGGUUUUUAGGUAUUUGUUUGCAGUUGAAUCGUGUAUUUUGAUUUCAUUCUUCUCAUAUAAUUGGUUUAAACGCCAGUAAUUUUGUGUUCACUCUUUUAAUUGGGUUUUAUUUGUCUAUCUUGAGUAGAAAUUUUCGAUUAUAGCCCUAAUUUGUGUUAGUUUUAUUUUUUCGGAGUGGUGUUGAAAUCUUUGUUUUUUGCAGCUUGGUAUUAUGCCAUGACUAAAAUGUAAAGUGUUUUGGAUUUCAGCUGGGUAUUCUCUCUAGUAGUUAAUUUGAUGUCGCAUGUAAUGAUUAUGGUGUUAAUUUGCGAUAUAAUUAGUUUCCUCUCACUGUCAAAUUCUUGAACUAAUAGCAAUCUAGGUUAUUAUUGAUAAUUUUGGAUUCAAUUAAUUUUACUGUGGCCUUAAUUCAUUCAAAUUAUGCCUACUUCUUACAGUGUAUUUUUAUUGCAGCCAUGUGUUUUAUUGUGAUAAUCGCUGCUUGUUUUCUUUUUUCUUUUAUAGAUAAGCUAAUGACUGAUUUAUGGAUUUGCCUUAGAUUAUGUGUUUUCUAGUGUUUAAGGGCUUAAUGACUUUGUCUGUUACCCUGCUUAUGUACAAGGAAGUCUCCUAAUUGAAUUCUCUUUGUACAUAAUUUGUUUUGAAAAGAAGGAAUGAUAACUAGUUAGAACAUGUGUAAUCAUAAUGCAUCUAGUAUUGCCUGCGAAUUAAGCUAUUAGCAGCUGUUAUUUUUUUCAGAUAAACCCCUUCACUUCUAAAGCAUUUUUUACUGAAACUACAGUAUCACUACUACAAAAUGAGUGUUUUCUAGACGCCUUAGCCUCGACACCUGCAGCUUAGAGUUAGCCUAAGAAAAGAUGAGGAUUCAUCGUCAACCCAACAGCCUGACUAGAUGGAUCAAUGAAGAGAAUCCGAGCAUUGACCUGUGUAUGUGGCAGGUGCUUAGUUGAUAAAAUAUCUAAUUUAUUACACUUUACAUGGAGUAGGAAAAAGAAAGUAUACAUUUAAUGAGACUUAAAGCACAAAAUUUUAAGAGAAUCAGUUACAGAACAGUUCAUUGGGAAAAUCUUGUACUUGCAUCACAAAUAAACCAUAUAUCAAGGUGUGGCGUGGCAGCAGCAUGCCAGGCUGCCAGCAACAACACAUAAACGAUUGAACAUACAUAGUUUCCAAGUCAUUUGGACUUUAACAUGCAUAGACAAUUACUACAAGACCCAUCAUUUACAUGUUUGCACAUGUCUACGUGAGGCCAUAGUAUAGCUACCGGCUUGGUAAUUGAGUUGAGUUCAUGGCUGGUAUCAGGUGAAAAAGAAACUGAAAAGGUGUGAAAUUGCAAUAUUCAGUGCAUUAGGUUUUUUGAUAAAUGAAUAUUCAUUUCACUAUUUAGCUACACAAGUACACAACUCUUCCUCCCCAACUCCGAAUAAACCAAUCUGCAUCUAAAAGGUAAUGGAGAAAGAGUGAGAGUCAGUAAGGGAAGAAAGAACUGGAGAUGAAAUAUAAUGCAAAAUUAGAUCAAACAAAUGCUACAACAUCAUGGAUUUUCUAAAAUCAAAUUAAGAUAGAAUCCCAAAGUUAUUUGAUUUCUAACAACCAUAGAUUUUACAUUAAUUAACAUCAUGCCCAUCCACCCCCCAUUUCAUCUUAUCAUCUUCUUCUUCUCCCAAGUUUGCUUACUAUCAUUGAUCAUUAUGUCAAUUGUACAGUGUGCCUGUACUUAGUGUGCAAACUCAUGAAAUAACUACCAAAGAACUAAAAGAGCCAUUGUAAACUAGAGAGGAUGAUAGUGCGCUUGCAUGUUCAAACCAAUACUUUAAUGCCCUGCCCUUCUUCUUUUUUCUGUUUCCUCCUUGUUCAUUUAUCUUCUUAAAAAUAGACUUUAAUACUUAUUUUUCUUUGACUAGUUCUUUCCUGUUUCUUGAUAUCCUCUGUUUCCUAUGUUCCUUUUUCCAUUUUCCUCUUAAUAACGUUUUUCAUUUCUUUACAUUGAACUGAUGUAUUUCAGUUCUUCCUUCAGUGUCAUAUAACUUGUAACAAAUUGACCAAAAAGUUCCAGGUUUGUUUAUGAUGGCAGAUUUGUUUUUUGAUGAAUUUGGCUGAAAUUUUGUUUCUUGGGUUUGCAAUCUUUUAUUGUUCGGUUUUUUUCUUAUAAUAUUUAUUCGAUGAGUGAGGAUACUAGUAUAUUGGUCAAUGCUGCUUCUAAGAAUUUUUAUGUUUCUUUUUUUUUAAUCACUGCUUGUUGGCCAAGUUCGUACAGUAAGUGCUUCAAGCUCUAGAUUGUGCACAAGUCUUGGGAAUGGUACAUGAAAGGAUCAUCCAACGUGAUAAGGAGGGACAUGACAAUGAAGGCAAGGACACAUGAGCUUAUAAGCUACUACCACCAUUAGAUCCUAGUUUUUCUAGGCUUUAGUUCUUUGGUUUUGUGGUACAAUUUGUACUUUUGAUUAUUGAUUAUGUUUUGUAAUAUUUAGUUAGUAACUUUUAUGUACUAUGGAUUUUGGUUAGUAACAUUAUCAUGGAAUUUGGUUAGCAGCAUUAAUUAUCAUGUACUAUUGAUAUAUUAUAUAUGGUUUAUUAGUAACA
Spinacia oleracea (spinach) is the source of this 5565-nucleotide long non-coding RNA. RefSeq lists it as uncharacterized. The transcript has 2 exons. NCBI's taxonomy places the organism in Eukaryota, Viridiplantae, Streptophyta, Magnoliopsida, Caryophyllales, Amaranthaceae. The record is from RefSeq and is a predicted model, not a curated record.